GGCGCUAUAGCCAAGUGGUUACGGCGACAGAUUCGAAUCUCGUUCGUUAUCUGUUCCUCUUUGAGGGCGCAGGUUCAAAUCCUGCUGGCGUCG
Paramarasmius palmivorus is the source of this 93-nucleotide non-coding RNA. The record is from the annotation of a GenBank genome assembly. Lineage: Eukaryota; Fungi; Basidiomycota; Agaricomycetes; Agaricales; Marasmiaceae.